RNAcentral lists this ribosomal RNA (305 nucleotides) under uncultured bacterium. Its description in RNAcentral is "bacterial SSU rRNA". It matches the Rfam family "Bacterial small subunit ribosomal RNA", at positions 334 to 635 of the family's 1533-position model. The record is from RNAcentral.
UUGGCCUACGGGAGGCAGCAGUGAGGAAUAUUGGUCAAUGGGCGGAAGCCUGAACCAGCCAAGUCGCGUGAGGGAAUAAGGCCCUACGGGUCGUAAACCUCUUUUGCCGGGGAGCAAGGGCGGGGACGUGUCCCGGCCCGGAGAGUACCCGGAGAAAAAGCAUCGGCUAACUCCGUGCCAGCAGCCGCGGUAAUACGUAGGUGGCAAGCGUUGUCCGGAUUUACUGGGUGUAAAGGGCGUGUAGCCGGGCCGGCAAGUCAGAUGUGAAAUCCCAAGGCUCAACCUUGGAACUGCAUUUGAAACUG